UGGGUUCUAUAAGAGAGCAGG
This 21-nucleotide non-coding RNA is filed under the name Mus musculus (house mouse). The record is from RNAcentral. Lineage: Eukaryota; Metazoa; Chordata; Mammalia; Rodentia; Muridae.